Molecule: long non-coding RNA, 346 nt
Organism: Balaenoptera acutorostrata (minke whale)
Lineage: Eukaryota; Metazoa; Chordata; Mammalia; Artiodactyla; Balaenopteridae
Exons: 3
Source: RefSeq, a predicted model, not a curated record
UUCGGGCUCUCAUUUGUCCACGGACAUGAUAAUACCUUCUCUAUCUCCUUUGGCGAGGAUCAAAUAAGAAGCCUGAAGGAGUGUCCAGAGCCUGAUGUAAACCGGGUUAAUCUGCCUAACUGAAGACUUUUACUGAAGAAAGUCUAGCUAACAACAUAUAAGUAUUCAUGUCUCAAGGGACCCAGAGAAAUAUACAUUUUUGUUUCUGAAGAAGCGCAGCCCCUGUCUUUCUCUCCUGUAGAAGUAAAGGAAGCACCAGUUACCCUUCUGAUUUUAAUCAGAAAAUAUAAAUGUAAAAUAUGAAUUCGAUAAAAAUGUAAGCUUGGCUUUUACUAUUUCCUGAACA